UACGGGAGGCAGCAGUGGGGAAUUUUGGACAAGGGGCGAAAGCCUGAUCCAGCCAUGCCGCGUGUGUGAAGAAGGUCUUCGGAUUGUAAAGCACUUUAAGUUGGGAGGAAGGACAGUAAGUUAAUACCUUGCUGUUUUGACGGUACCAACAGAAUAAGCACCGGCUAACUUCGUGCCAGCAGCCGCGGUAAUACGAAGGGUGCAAGCGUUAAUCGGAAUUACUGGGCGUAAAGCGCGCGUAGGUGGUUCGUUAAGUUGGAUGUGAAAGCCCCGGGCUCAACCUGG
This 285-nucleotide ribosomal RNA is filed under the name uncultured bacterium. Its description in RNAcentral is "partial 16S ribosomal RNA". It matches the Rfam family "Bacterial small subunit ribosomal RNA", at positions 340 to 617 of the family's 1533-position model. The record is from RNAcentral.